RNAcentral lists this ribosomal RNA (697 nucleotides) under uncultured Bacteroidota bacterium. Its description in RNAcentral is "bacterial SSU rRNA". It matches the Rfam family "Bacterial small subunit ribosomal RNA", at positions 46 to 738 of the family's 1533-position model. The record is from RNAcentral. Lineage: Bacteria; Pseudomonadati; Bacteroidota.
GCUUACGCAUGCAGUCGUGGGGCAGCAUAAGGGUAGCAAUACUCUGGUGGCGACCGGCAAACGGGUGCGGAACACGUACGCAACCUUCCUCAAAGCGGGGGAUAGCCUCUCGAAAGAGAGAUUAAUACCCCAUAGUAUCUUGAAACUGCAUGGUUUUAAGAUUAAAGCUCCGGCACUUUGAGAUGGGCGUGCGGCUGAUUAGGUAGUUGGUAGGGUAACGGCCUACCAAGCCAACGAUCAGUAGCUGAUGUGAGAGCAUGAUCAGCCACACGGGCACUGAGACACGGGCCCGACUCCUACGGGAGGCAGCAGUGAGGAAUAUUGGUCAAUGGAGGCAACUCUGAACCAGCCAUGCCGCGUGAAGGAUGAAGGUCCUCUGGAUUGUAAACUUCUUUUAUUGGGGAAGAAACCCGCUUUUUCUAAGGCGGUUGACGGUACCCUAGGAAUAAGCACCGGCUAACUCCGUGCCAGCAGCCGCGGUAAUACGGAGGGUGCGAGCGUUAUCCGGAUUCACUGGGUUUAAAGGGUGCGUAGGUGGGUUGGUAAGUCAGUGGUGAAAUCCUCGAGCUUAACUCGAGAACUGCCGUUGAUACUACCAGUCUUGAAUUCUGUGGGGUAAGCGGAAUAUGUCAUGUAGCGGUGAAAUGCUUAGAUAUGACAUAGAACACCGAUAGCGAAGGCAGCUUACUACGCAGAU